UUCAGUCAUGUGCUGUGUGGCCAGAUCAGCUCCGGCAGUUGCCACUCUUUCCAGGAGACUCUGUGGUCGCUGCAUACCAGGACCAUGGGAACCAUGAUGCCAGGUCUGGAUGACUAGAAAUACCAUGGUGAAGCAUGGAAACCAUAGAACAGAUCAUUGUUUGUUAUUAUGGAUUAUAAAACCCAAACCCAAACAUACCACAACACAGUUGAGACAAAACUACACACCAUCCUGUGCAAGAAACCACAUGACUUCUUGUGUUGAGUGAUCAACACAAGGCCAACUCUUUGGCCUUCAAAAGGGCCA
Molecule: long non-coding RNA, 306 nt
Organism: Varanus komodoensis (Komodo dragon)
Lineage: Eukaryota; Metazoa; Chordata; Lepidosauria; Squamata; Varanidae
Exons: 5
Source: RefSeq, a predicted model, not a curated record